UACGUAGGGGGCAAGCGUUGUCCGGAAUCAUUGGGCGUAAAGAGCGCGUAGGCGGCCCUGUAAGUCCGCUGUGAAAGUCAAGGGCUCAACCCUUGAAUGCCGGUGGAUACUGCAGGGCUAGAGUCCGGAAGAGGCGAGUGGAAUUCCUGGUGUAGCGGUGAAAUGCGCAGAUAUCAGGAGGAACACCGGUGGCGAAGGCGGCUAUCUGGACAGAGUCUGACGCUGAGGCGCGAAAGCUAGGGGAGCAAACAGG
This 253-nucleotide ribosomal RNA is filed under the name uncultured bacterium. RNAcentral describes it as "partial 16S ribosomal RNA". It matches the Rfam family "Bacterial small subunit ribosomal RNA", at positions 524 to 776 of the family's 1533-position model. The record is from RNAcentral.